GCAGCCUGUCGUCGUCGAACCGAGACACGCCGAGCCCUCCACCGGGAAGCUCGUCGAGGGCGCCCGACCCGCACCUACUGCGCAAGAACCACGACGUCAACACAGUGACCAUCGUGCAGACGACGGACACGUCGCAGGUCAUCAACCAGGACACUGUGAUUGUGUCAGUGUCCGGACACAACGCGCGCACGCUGGUGCUGCCCUCAGGACACUCUGAGGUGCAGGUGACUCUCGCGCACGUCUGACACGCGGCCACUCGGCGCCCUUCGCCGCCGCCAGACGCCUCGACGUCGUAUGCCUGCGCCGGCAGGCACUGCGGCUGCCGGCGCCCGCACGUCGCCCAGGACGACAGGCGGCGGCGGCGCCGUGCAAGAGACGGCGACGGCAUGCCGAUAUGCCACGACUUUCUGCAGACUCCUGGCUACUCCUUGUGGAGACUGCAUGAACAGGGCAUCUAAAGACUGUCUCCUUUUGAUCUGCCAGUCAACCUUCGAACAUCCAGAUUCCUGAGCUGACAGCCUUGUGAAUAUGUGCAUAGAGACAGUGAUGAGACCGUGUGCAGAAAACAGACUGUGAAUCAGCCUACACUGUGUUGAAUGUGCGUGUAUAGUCUAUCAUCUGAAAUGUGUGCGUGGACGUAGGUAUUCAUCAGUGCUUAUUCCUGAACGUUUGCUCGUUAUCUAAUGUUGCCAUGUUGCCAGCACACUGCUGGGCCAAUGAUGUGUGAAUGAUUGGUGUUUUCCCAAUGUUUGUUUAUGAACUUCUGAGUGAGAGAGAAGGGUUGCAGUCUACUACAAAUUAGGUUCGAGUUUAGUUUUGCUGCCUUCUUUAGAACAGUCAAGUAUACAGUCGAGCUGACUUGCGAGUUGCGUCAUGGUCACACAAGGCACAGCUCAUUAUAAUUUAACAAAGUGUGUGAACAAGCAAGAAUAAGCUCAAGAAACUGCAAGAACAUUUAUUGCUUCCCAACCACUGACCUUGUUUCACUUCAGUGCUAACCUGACAAUGAUGGCUUCCAAAUUUUUUGAAGCAGUGACACAAUGCACUCUGCCAUGGUUGCCGUGGCAGAGUGGUUUCACAGUUUCCUGGCUUUCUUUAUCAAUUCAGUGCUGAUGAAGCCUCACGUUUCAUGAACGAUGCUCUAGUGCAUGCAUGAUUGAUGAAUAUAAAUUACAUCGGCAAAAUUUGAUUGCUUUAACAAUGUACGACCAUAAAUGUGUGUUCUAAUCGUUCAGCAAAGCUUGAACGUGGGCUAGUUGAUAUGGCAUUAUAAGGUUGUCGCACUAAGCAAAAUGUGCGGAGGACUAACAAAAAAAAAGGGAACAGGAGAGUUGAAAGCUUGUGCGCCAUUUGUCCUGUCCCCUUUUUUGUUAGUUCUUCACGCAUUUUGCUCAGCGCAACAACCUUAGAGUGCUAAUCAUCAAUGCUUCCGAGCUCUAUUGCUUCACUCAUGUGCUAUGCAGGAAUGUGGCCUCACAAAAACCAUCCUCGAUGAAAUGUGCACUAAGCUUCGUCGAAGCAUCCUUUUGACGUUUUAAAAAUUCGUGAACACGGGGUGUUGCUGGAGCCGACGUUUCGACAAGUGGGCUGCAGCUCUGUUUGUCGACAAGUCCGCUUGUCGAAACGUUGGCUCGAGCGACACCCCGUGUUCACGAAUUUCUCACCUCUCCAAGCUUCCAUCUUCCCCUGAACCUUUUCAAUUUUAGUGAUUCUAUCACAUCCUCUGUAAUGGAGGUGAAGGUCAGGAUGUGUUUGAUUUACCAGAGGUGCGCUGCCAUAGGAAACGUUGUCUUUCUUCAUAAUUACCAGAGUGGGCUCGACUGUAUACUUAUAGCCAAAAAUUAGGGUACGUAUUGUGGAGGCUGCGAGUGCUUGGUCAUACAUUGUCUGCAGCUUCAAGAAUGCUUUUCUUAUGUGAACUGGUGUGAAAUUGUGCAAUAUUCAUUUAUAGCUAAUACGAGAUCGUCGUGUACUACACAAACGGCACUUUUGUAAGAACCAAUCUAGUAUAUAGUCAUUAAAAAAAUUGGCACAUUUAAUGUAAGCAUGCAUUGCCCUGCUAUAUCAGAAAGAAGAAAGCUGUACUUCUCAACAAGUUGCUUCGGUUUAGAUGCUGCAUCCUGAGAAUGAAAUUAUUCAUAUAUUGCAUCCUUCCUGGCUGCUGUGGUAAGCUCUGGCAGCCAGUACUGAUGAGCAAACAUUCACUUACAAUGCAAAGAGACACUAAAGUGGCACAAUGUAUCAGUUUAUACUGAUAAAGCAGGCUUUGAAAACUGUAUUGUUAAUUUCCCCAUCAUAUGUUUAUUAGUGAAAAAGAAAACUAAGGUCAAAGUUUUAUUCUUAAAUUUUGCACCAAAAUCUACACAUGUAUGUCAGCAAAGUGUCGUGGAUUUCAAAGUGUUCUUUCGUAUUUUGGUCGCAUUGGCUCAACGAAAUUUCCCGAACCUUGGUAUGUUUAGUGCAUGGCCCCCUCAGAGGACCAUGUACUUGAUUUUUACCAAGUAAGAACUACGUAGGCCCUAGUAGAGACUGUCAAAAUUUGUCAUGGCGAUUGGUGCAGGAACUUCAAGGUGACAUCGCCACCUGCAUUUUAUUUCUGUGCGCUUUCUCGCUUACCCAGCAUCUUCUUGCAGCAAGAGUGGUGAUUUGGUAUUGUUAAAGGGCAAUUUACCAAUACAAGAGAAAUAGUUUUUCCUCCUUAGUGUCCCUUUAAUUGCAUUACGCUUCAAUUGGCAUGUUGAGACGCUUGGUUUCUAGAAUGAGGAAAUGGUUUAGCACGGCCGUGUCGGCAGUUUGCUUUCUUUGUAGUGCGGGUGCAGUCAUGGCUGCAGUUGUGCAUAUAGCUGUACAUACAUCAUGCUCACUAACUGUUGAAUUCAAAUCACAUCUUGGGAACAAUAAGAGGCACAGAUGUGUGUCAUGUCAUCUAGCUCUCGGCUUUAAGACUGAGAAAUGUAAGUGUUUGAACAUGGUCGUAUUGCAAGCUCAGGCAAGUAUAACACACUUUGGAUGCCCUAUUAAGUGUUUAAGUUUUAUCGUUAUGCUUUCCAUAUGCUUUACUUGGUUAACACAUGAAUGCUGAAAAUAUGAAACAUAAUUGUAAAGUAGUACUCAGAUUAAGGCUGUUUGACAGAAUCAGAUUAAGGAUAUCUUUAUGGAAAUGCUCUCGUCAUCGCACACUGUGUAUCAUCGGGGACAACAUUUAAGUGCAGUGCUGAAUUAUGGUGGUGUAGUUUGUGGUGAGCAUUUUUGUCUAUCUGCAAGUAGCGCCUCCCAUUCUUCACUAAGUCAGCGCAAGAUUCUUUUCCCAAUCAAGAGCAGCUGAAAUGAGUAAUUAUGAAGGUUCCAGUUUCACCCCCAGCAUCAUUGAAAUUAACAGUGGUAUUUGCAUAUAUGUACCACUGCCUAGAUGAGAUUAGGGCUACUGAUUAUGCUAUGUGCUUACGUGGAUUCACACUUGCCUGUACGUCAACAAUUCGAUGUUUCUACUUACGUUACUCUGUCAUAAGAACAUGAAUGGCUUUGUUACUCAGUACGAUGUUCUUUUUCUUUUCUCUUCUUUUUGUUAAUAAUCUGUAUACUUUUAUGUGGAGGUGUAUCAAAGGAACUGUGCUUGCUUUCUUGUUCAGACUCAGUGUAGUCAGUUCCUUGGUGCCAUACUAGGAAACGGGGCUGAUAUAACGUACAGAUCAUUAUUCUUUCUUUUUUUGCUCUACUUCUCUCCUUUGCCAUCUGCCACUCGGAGCUGGAUAAUCGUUGUCAAUGAUGUCGCAACUUUUGCUCAGGCCACCAAGAAAACACAUAAAGGAGAAGAAUUGGAAUAGAAUUAUUGCACCGAUUUUGCUUAGAAUGAAUCUUAAAUCCACGUUUCCUAGCUCCUGGCUCCUUUGUUGACCAGUUCAUGCUCCAUGGCAGAAAUGAUUGGUAAGCUCUUGUUGACUCACGUAUUGUGAAGCAUUUCAAAUUAGGAUUGAAAAUUGAGCAAAUUGGUAUUGAUCCAUGGCAAAAAUAAGCAAACGUUACAAUUAAAACGAUUAAAUCAAUUAAAUGACCACAACUCCUCUCAAGCUUGGUUAUCAGCGAUUUAUGUAGUCUAAAAAGGAAAAUUAUUUAUUCUGGAGACCAUUUCAAGGCUGACUAACAUAGUUGUGGCUUAUGUUUUGUAUUCUGCAGGCCUCAACAAUGUCAUGCAUCUAUUGAUCUGGGUGGUGGCAAUCCGGGCUAAUUCAGCAGUGCACACAGAUGCAUGGUACUUAAGUGCGCUGUUUGCUUAUUUUUGCCAUGAAAUAUUAAAUUACUUAGUUGAAUUUGAAAUAGAGUAGCAUUUCUUGACCGGUUAAUGCAGGACCUUAGAUCAAAUAUUUCUGUGUUGUUAGAAUCAAGUGCUUGCAGAGGUUAGAGAACUGCUGUUCAUAAUUGCGAGAUUCAUGCGAGGCCUUGGAUCAAACAGGGAAACGUCAUUGUGUGUGUGGUGCCGAAAAUCACUGAGACAACAUCAAGCAUGGCACAGCAGCUGACAUUUUCUGCACCACUGCAACUUUGUUAUUGCUGGUGGUGCGUGUCAUAAGUACUCAUCGACUUGAGGGAAAAGGAGGGCCAAAACCAUGAAGCAUCACACUAAAGGAGUGUAGACACUAAGGUUGGACAGCAAGCUGACUACAGCAUGAGCUUUAAGAAAUGCUGUGAUGAAUUUUGACAGAGAACAGACAGCUUAAAUGUAAUUUAUUUAAAUUUAGGAGUUCAGAAAAAAAUAUGACAUUCUUGAAGAAUUUUCAACUAGGGCUUCUUGGAUCCGCUCAGAGUUGUUAAUAUGCAUGACCCCCUAAAAAUGCACUGCUGAAGCAGCGAUGUCAGCCAAUGUACCCCCGUGCAACACUGCAGUCAACAACAGUAAAUGCCCUGGGACUCCACAUGAUGUUGCUGCUACAUGAUACUUCUUCUUGUCAUCGCUCAGAGCUGUGCACCGUUUGGUGGGAAUUUUUUCUAAAUCAUGAAAUGCACCAUGUAAAUUGUCAGGGUACCGAGUAAUUAUCAGGGUCCCCAAUAAACGGCCUUCCACAUAAAAUAAUAAAAUUAUCAUAGCAGAUUUUGGCGUCUACACUCCUUUAACAUUGCAAGUAAAGUAUUGUGCUAUGUGCCGAGUAUGGCUGUUAAGAAAGAAGUGAAAACUGUGUUAAGACUACGAACGGUUGCGGUGGCCCUGGUAGUUCAGUUAACAAAGGUCUAAAAAAUACAUCGCUUUUUAUUUGUCUUAUAGAUUCUAGAACAAAGAUUUAAUGUUUUGCAAAAAGUUGUAUGUAUGGCAAUGGCAUGUUGCAUGUGUCAUCAAAUAUUUGUGCGCAGUGAGAACUUUUUUAGAAGGCUUGAGCACCCGUUGUUUGGCACUGCAGAAAGCAAGACUGGGCCAACAUUUCUUUUACUUCACUGCACUAACAUACUCACUUGUACAUGCACAUGACUCAGUAGCAAUUGUAUAUUUUGUUGCGACAAACUUCCAUACUCUCUUUCAAAAGACAUAUCACAAACACUAUAAGCUUGCUUGCACAUUAGAAGACACCUUGCUUGAAUUGUGUCGCCAGCGUGCAACUAGUCAUUAAUUUUCUACUGGAGACAUUCUUUGGUUCUGUUGAAACGUGUGUUGCCAUCAUUGAA
Long non-coding RNA from Rhipicephalus sanguineus (brown dog tick), 5652 nucleotides. RefSeq lists it as uncharacterized. The transcript is spliced from 3 exons. NCBI's taxonomy places the organism in Eukaryota, Metazoa, Arthropoda, Arachnida, Ixodida, Ixodidae. The record is from RefSeq and is a predicted model, not a curated record.